CUAGAGAAACUGCAGCCAAUUUGCAGCCAUGAACAUUUUAUACUGUUUCACUGCUGUAAUUUUCUUCUUCUUCCAUGCUGCUCAGGAAGACCAAUUUAUAGAAGCCAUUCUACUUACCUGUGCAUCAAUGGGUGGAUUCUGCAUUCUACAACCCAAUGAGACCUGUCCUUCAGGUGUCUUCCUGGAUGUGCCUUGUCAUUUCAGAAGAAGAUGUUGUUCAAAGACUGAUGUUUAACUCUCAUUUUUAUGUGCUUAUUGGAUAAAUAACCAAUGGAAUGCCCUGCUAUAGCUUUCAUCUGUUCCACUAGUUAGCUGUAGCUGAUUUGUCAUGGUAUUUUCUACUUGUGAUAGGUAACUAAGUUAAUCAGUCAAGCUUCUCCAGAAUUUGGACAGUAAUCAUUCAAAAUUUCUCUUGUGUAUAUGCUAUGUCCCACUUUGCUAUUACCAUUGACAACUCUAUUUCUUUUGCCACAGCUACGUUUAUAUCUCCAGGUCCCCCACUACUUAUUUAAAGAUCCAUAAUUCAUUUGGAUGGAAUCCUAAUGUGCAAUGACAACAAAGAGAAAAAAUAGGAUCUCCUCAAUGAAAAAACUGAAAGCAGAUAACUUUUUUUUCCAAAUUAAGGAAAUUAAAUUGUCGGUGCUGAAUUCUGAGGAAAAUAAAAGUUGAAAGUUAAAGUCAUAAAACGAGAAAAAGAAAACAGAACAUCUCUCCAGGAAUCAGGAAAGGACAAGUCCCUAUUGGGGGGGGGGGGAAUCUGUCCAUAGUUUUCUGAUACUAUUUUAUUAUUUCAGCUUACUGCUUUAUGGACCACUGGAAGGGAUCCCAUUUGCCCCAUCAACUAGAUUUAAAUUAGUACCUCAUCUCCAACUAUAUGGGUUUGUAGAAGAAUGCCAUUUUGCCCCCAAAAGAUGGCAAUUCUAUAGAUUUCACUGAAUAUGAGGGAGAAAAUAAUUCAGUUUUGGUCAUAAAAGUAAAAAUAUAACACAAUGCCAUCAUUUUUGCUUGAUUAAAAUAUUGGGAACAUUACUCUGUAUUGAACAGUCAGUAUUUUAAUUUGACCUAGUAGGUAUAUUUUAUGAGAAAUUUUGGAAAUGCAUAGAUCAGAUAAUGUUGAUGUAGCAUGUUAAUGUAGUUUUACAUAUUUAUGUGGAUUGAUUGAAUUUAUUUUCUUGCUAUUUUUGAAAUAAAAAUUAUAAUGGGAAGCUGAAA
Pantherophis guttatus is the source of this 1212-nucleotide long non-coding RNA. RefSeq lists it as uncharacterized. NCBI's taxonomy places the organism in Eukaryota, Metazoa, Chordata, Lepidosauria, Squamata, Colubridae. The record is from RefSeq and is a predicted model, not a curated record.